UUCAGAUGUCGGACAAGCUUGGAUUAAAAAAAUUAAGGUUCGGUACUCGGCAAUUCAAGACGUGCGAGGCCCAUCAUCAUGGGCUCGUAGAUGUAUUAAAAGGCGCGGGAAAGUGGUUGCCUCUCCAUCGAGCGACACGUGUCUCUAUACGGGAAGCCAGAAACUUAAGUCCGAGUGAAAUGAACCCUCAAAUCGGAGGAGGCUCUCCUUCCGGUUCCUCCCUUCGAUCGUCGAUCCCCACAUGGCGAAGACGAAGCGAUCGACGAACUUCUUCUCCUCCUCCUCUCGUUGGUGUGAUCCACCACGUCUUCUCGUUCAUCGACGUUGCAUGCAUCGUCCGCACGUGCGUUUUUGUCGAAGCGGUGGCGAUCCGUCUGGAACGCCUCCCCGUUCCGUGGACGGCGUCUUGAUCCUCUAGGCGUCGCCCAAGGUGAGGAAGUUCCACAUCGACGCCGAUUUUCUCGACCGUUGCGCGCCUGAGCUCAGUCCGUGGCUUCGCUUUGCUGUCGACCGCCGUGUCGAGGACCUCUCAGUCGAUGCGACUAAGAGGUUGUGCGAGAUGGCCGGCCAUUUCGCAGUACCGCGGCUCCUUUUAUGGAUGCUCUUCGUUGGUGAACCUGCACUCAGGGCUCUGUUGCUUCUCGUUGAGUAGAAGUAUCGCUUGGAUUAAUCUUAGGUCCCUAUCCAUCUGUGACUCGGAGGUGAUGCAUGAGAUGUCGAAUGGCAGCCCUGUUCUGGAGUACCUUAGUUUGGAAGGAUGCUACGGUUUGAAGCGAACCAUCAAGCUUUGUUCGAGAACUUUGAGGGAAAUUGCGGUCAAUGGCUGCUUUCGGUAUGCACUUGAUGAGGGUUUCCCCUUGGAGAUUUCAAGUCCUCUGUUGCUGUUUGAGAGGAUUUUCUGGUAUGAUGAGGCAGCUGGUAACGGAAGUCUCAAUCCUUGAUUGAAGCAGAGUCGAACUUUUUUCUGAGAGGCGAGGAUUUUGGAAGGCCAACUGAUUGUUUUGUUCAAAAUCGGUUCGAGUCUUACAGAUGGUGUUGCAACUUGGUUGAGGGACUGCUUCAGAAGCUGCAGAACGCGACUAAGCUUUUGAUUGGUAGUUGGUGCCUUCAGGAUAUAUCUCAAGCUAUGCUGCAUACAUGUAUACAUGGAGGGAGGAGUUGGAGAAAGCAAAAAGACUAGGAGGGUAGGCGGAGCUGCAUCCAAGUAUGUUAAGUUCUUGUAAAUGUAUAACAUCAUUAUGCUGGCAUCCUGAUGGCAAAGUAGUUGUCUUGGGACUAGAAGAUGAAUGGAAAACUGUUAAGAAGCUUAAGUCCCAUGCGGCAGCUGGGGUGUGUCUCAAUUGGGAGGAGGAUGCCCAAGUGAAUAGACUCCAAGAGCUCCUUGCAUGCCUGGACUAGUACCUGGAGAAACUGGUUUAACUGACGAUGGUCAAGAUUCAUUCGUAGUGCUCUCAAAUUCUUCAAAGCAAUGUUUCAAUAUCCUUUGCAGUGGAGAUGAAGAUGGGGUUUUGUGCUUUAGUAUAUUUGGUGUCUUUCCAAUUGGAAAUGUUGUAAGCCUCCUGUCUGUUCAGAUCAUAUAUUUAGCAGUAUAGUCUAUCAGAUUCAGUCAAUGACUACUUCUUUCCUUUCUCGCUUCCAUAGAGCAGUCUUUCUUAAUAAAUGGAUCUGAUGGCAGAAAUCAGUAUUGCCCGAAAGUAAUGGACUGGUCAAUUAAACAACUAUACUAGGUGAAGUUAUUCUUGUAAAAGUUCUAGAUUUCACUUCUACUGGUCACUUCAGAGAUGACACCUCCGACUUCAAUACAGCACAAUUAUCU
Eucalyptus grandis is the source of this 1816-nucleotide long non-coding RNA. RefSeq lists it as uncharacterized. NCBI's taxonomy places the organism in Eukaryota, Viridiplantae, Streptophyta, Magnoliopsida, Myrtales, Myrtaceae. The transcript is spliced from 5 exons. The record is from RefSeq and is a predicted model, not a curated record.